RNAcentral lists this long non-coding RNA (709 nucleotides) under Homo sapiens (human). Its description in RNAcentral is "HSALNT0145214". The record is from RNAcentral. Lineage: Eukaryota; Metazoa; Chordata; Mammalia; Primates; Hominidae.
AGGCUUUUUAUUCUAACAGCACUGGGUGGGCCCAACCCACCUGCCAGACAGUUCCCAGGAGUGAGGCUGGUCUUUCCCAGCAAGUAAGACACAGUUUUGUUAGGUGAGUGAGCAGCUCCUCCCUUAGUCCAGGGAGAGCCCCCACUCCACUGGGUGAUGAAACUGGCUUUUUGGAGGCCUGGCAAUGCACAGAGGCCCUUCCUCUCCAGGAAUGCCCGGGCUCACAUGGUCCACUUCAGAUAUCUGGUCUCCUGGUGGGUCCCCAGACAGCACACGGUGCAAUACCAGGCACCACAGCUGACACAGGUGUAGGGGGAGGGGAAGCUGCAGACAGCACAGAAGGAACGCUGUGGCUGCGACAGGGACUCUGCACAGGCUAUCAGGUAGUUGGGGCCCUUGGCCACACUCAAGUUCUGCUCCUCCAGCAGGGCCUGAAAGUUUUUUUGGACGUGAAGUUGAAAAUGAUCACCUCGGGUUUUCUUCUUUUACUGUCUGGUGUCUGCAUCAUCAUCGAACUGUGGCAGUCUCUUGCUGAGCUGAGGGAGUCCCACAUGGGGGUCGUCCUGGAAGUUGUCAUUCUCCAGGACUUCUAGCUGCCAGUUGAUGUGACGCUGCCAGGUGGCCCAGUCCAGCACCCGUUGCUGCCCAGGGUCCUGGGAUCUAUGCACUCUUCCUGAAGUUUUCUUCUCCACCAUUUGCACAACCCAAC